RNAcentral lists this ribosomal RNA (518 nucleotides) under uncultured Morganella sp. RNAcentral's name for it is "bacterial SSU rRNA". It matches the Rfam family "Bacterial small subunit ribosomal RNA", at positions 30 to 525 of the family's 1533-position model. Lineage: Bacteria; Pseudomonadati; Pseudomonadota; Gammaproteobacteria; Enterobacterales; Morganellaceae. The record is from RNAcentral.
AUUGAACGCUGGCGGCAGGCCUAACACAUGCAAGUCGGGCGGUAACAGGGAGAAGCUUGCUUCUCUGCUGACGAGCGGCGGACGGGUGAGUAAUGUAUGGGGAUCUGCCUGAUGGAGGGGGAUAACUACUGGAAACGGUAGCUAAUACCGCAUAAUGUCUCCGGACCAAAGCGGGGGACCUUCGGGCCUCGCACCAUCAGAUGAACCCAUAUGGGGAUUAGCUAGUAGGUGAGGGUAAACGGGCUUACCUAGGCGACGAUCCCUAGCUGGUCUGAGAGGAUGAUCAGCCACACUGGGACUGAGACACGGCCCAGACUCCUACGGGAGGCAGCAGUGGGGGAAUAUUGCACAAUGGGCGCAAGCCCUGAUGCAGCCAUGCCGCGUGUAUGAAGAAGGCCUUCGGGUUGUAAAGUACUUUCAGUCGGGAGGAAGGUGUUAAGGUUAAUAACCUUGACAAUUGACGUUACCGACAGAAGAAGCACCGGGCUAACUCCGUGCCCAGCAGCCGCGGGUAAAUA